Molecule: non-coding RNA, 665 nt
Organism: Schizosaccharomyces pombe (fission yeast)
Lineage: Eukaryota; Fungi; Ascomycota; Schizosaccharomycetes; Schizosaccharomycetales; Schizosaccharomycetaceae
Source: the annotation of a GenBank genome assembly
ACUUGCUAUUUAAUUACUUGAAAGUAAAUUGAAGGUUGAGCGUAAAAACAUAAAAUAAAGCCUUUUUUCGGUUUCUUAUUAAUUCAUAAAUUAAUGUUAAAAGGGAUUGAUAUAUAAUAUUUAAUAAUUACGUUUCCUACAAUGUUUACUGUCAUGUACCACUGGGAUAUGAGAAUAUAUACAUUGCUUAUCAAAAUACUUAUUUCCAAGAUUCGCUCAAUUAUAUAAACCACGCAUUAAAGCAACAUAUAAAAACAUAUUGAUUCGUUUAUUUUACUUUUACUCAAUGCAUAUUUUGUGAGCCCGAAAAUUUAGAUAUACCAUCUGUGACUGCCUUUUUGGUACACAAACGCCGAAAAUUAGAAGUCUGGUGGACAGCGUUGGCUUUCCGGUAGAUUAGUCUUUUGAGGUUAACAAGUUAAUGAUAUCUGAUAUUCUGAUGUGAUUAUUGAAUUUAUGAAGUGCAUCAGUACUGUAUUUCUCGUGUUCCGGUGACUCUCGUAUUUUGUAUUGCACUAGAAAUAGUGAAAUCGCCAGCCAUUUCAUAAUUUAUCAAGUAGCUCGACAUUAGUAUGACUAUUCAUAUUCUGUAUACGAAUGAUGUUCUAAAUUAAAAUCUGGCAAAGUAAAUGACAAUUCUGUUCAUAUAAGCUGGUUUACAUAGC